Molecule: long non-coding RNA, 1126 nt
Filed under: Anas platyrhynchos platyrhynchos (common mallard)
Lineage: Eukaryota; Metazoa; Chordata; Aves; Anseriformes; Anatidae
Description: lncRNA (ENSAPLG00000022678.1)
Source: RNAcentral
AGGGGGGAAGGGGGGGUGAUGAAAAACAGUCAGGUAAUUGAGACAAAUUUUAAUUGAACUGUGCAUUUUACUAACUGUUAUGCACAAAGCUUUAUUGUAAGGUUGCUGUGGCAACCUUAACUUUGAGUGUCCUGAUGUGUGAUUAAAAUCUUAGAUUUAAACGUUUCAUUAACAAAGAGGGAUUUUUUUUUUUUCAUGGGAAGCCACCAAAACCACUGAUCCUGAAGACUGAGGAUCCGAGUGUCACCUUUGAUUUUAGUCACUGAGGGGAGGAAAGCAGAGAAUCAGCCACACAGAUGGCUAAAAGUCCGGGAGGGAGGGAGAUCCUUUUCCUUCCUUACAAAUGCCUGCCCCCUUUUUCCCCCUGCCCUGCAUCUUCCCACUCCUUAAGGACGCUAUACCAAUCAGACUUAGAAGCUUAAAAGGCCAUAAAGGGAAAAAUGUCAGGUACGAGCUGCUCUGCUCAGCAUGACAGGAGUUCAGAUAAGAACACAAAAAAUACCACAUGGGGUUAGACAUAAGGUUCAUUUAGCUGGGUAACCUUUGCCUGGAAACAGCAAGUAGCAAAUGCUUAGGAUAUGUAUAGACUUGACCUUUCUCUCUCAGACCCUCCCAGCUCCUGAUAACCACUACUUAAAUGUGUCCUUGCAAUGCUCCCCUGAAUGGUGUUUUUUCCUAGUAAAGACCUUCCAAGGAAAAAAGGUGAAAACUCAUAGGACAUCUAACCAUUUAUGGACCAUAGGAGCAACACACAAUUUCCUGACCUGCUGGGUUUUCUCUAUUCUGAAUUGGACAAAACCUUGUGACUUACAAAAUACUAAUAAACUGACAAACACAUAUGGAGGAUAAACUCUGCUAAACAGAACUAUUUCAUACUGUCUUCUGUGAGUCUGCAGUAUGUAAAACUUUAAAAAAAGAAAAAGUAAUUUUUAUUUUUAGUAGAGAGAGAUAUAUUAGGAAAAAAAAUUGAAACAUUAUGUAUAUUUUAACUAUCAUUUGAUCUAUUAGGAGAUAUUCUCAUGAGAAACCUCCUUUUAACACUGACACUUUUCUGAUUAUUUUUAACUUAGUCUAAAUCUUUAAAUUAAAAAAUAAACAUAAAAAAAUAAAAAAGUGAGUUAUUCCU